Molecule: signal recognition particle RNA, 356 nt
Filed under: Marmota monax (woodchuck)
Lineage: Eukaryota; Metazoa; Chordata; Mammalia; Rodentia; Sciuridae
Rfam family: Metazoan signal recognition particle RNA (bases 25-324)
About the family: The signal recognition particle (SRP) is a universally conserved ribonucleoprotein.
Source: RNAcentral
UCUCCUUUUGCGCCGCGUCUGACCGCCGGACGCGGUGGCGCGCGCCUGUAGUCCCAGCUACUCGGGAGGCUGAGGCAGGAGGAUCGCUUGAGCCCAGGAGUUCUGGGCUGUAGUGUGCUAUGCCGAUCGGGUGUCCGCACUAAGUUCGGCAUCAAUAUGGUGACCUCCCGGGAGCGGGGGGCCACCAGGUUGCCUAAGGAGGGGUGAACCGGCCCAGGUCGGAAACGGAGCAGGUCAAAACUCCCGUGCUGAUCAGUAGUGGGAUCGCGCCUGUGAAUAGCUACUGCGCUCCAGCCUGGGCAACAUAGCGAGACCCCGUCUCUUUUAAAUUUUCAUGAAGUAGAAUUUUCAGUCCU